UGAAAGUUAUGUUAAAUCAAAAAAUUGCAAUAGACAAACAACAACGCUAAGUAAAUCACACAUUUGAUAAACGAAAGUAUAUGCAAUAAUUGUAUAUACAGUUGCAUUGUUUACCGCAGUCGACAGCUGUGGCUCCCGUCCGCACGGCAGGCAAUAGGGCGAGUACUCGGUGGAGGCCUGGACGCUGCCGUUGUGUUCAAAGAGAAUGACCUUCAGGUUGUCCUCCCACCGUUCCUGGUACCCGUCAAGGGACUUGUCCAUGGCAGUCUUGAGGGUCUUGAGAGUCUAGUUGGUCCGUUCAUCCAAACCUGGAGGAGGGGAGUUCACGACCUCGGUCACUCAAGCUGACCUCAGGAGAACCGUGGGUUUUGAAGAUGGCCACCUCCAAGGCGAUGAUGGACUCCCCAGUUUCAUCCUUGAUGGUUUUGUUUCUUCAAGCCUACCAGCGGUUUUCCCCUCGGUUCCUGUCUGUCGAUUGUUCCUGUUUGCUAGUUUUCCCGGUGUUGACCAUUCUGCCUGCCGUCCUGUACCUUUUCCCCACCUUUCUGGAUUACUGCCCCUUGACCUGCCUUUUGCCUGCCCUGUUCGAUUUAAUAAACUGUUGUUACUUCAAAGUUGUCUACAUCUGGG
Long non-coding RNA from Oncorhynchus tshawytscha (Chinook salmon), 630 nucleotides. The record is from Ensembl. Lineage: Eukaryota; Metazoa; Chordata; Actinopteri; Salmoniformes; Salmonidae.